GCAGAGCAUCCUACGGGAGGCAGCAGUGGGGAAUAUUGCACAAUGGGCGCAAGCCUGAUGCAGCCAUGCCGCGUGUAUGAAGAAGGCCUUCGGGUUGUAAAGUACUUUCAGCAGUGAGGAAGUGGAUAUGUUAAUAGCAUAUUCAUUUGACGUUUAGCUGCAGAAGAAGCACCGGCUAACUCCGUGCCAGCAGCCGCGGUAAUACGGAGGGUGCGAGCGUUAAUCGGAAUUACUGGGCGUAAAGCGCAUGCAGGUGGUUUGUUAAGUCAGAUGUGAAAGCCCGGGGCUCAACCUCGGAAUUGCAUUUGAAACUGGCAAACUAGAGUACUGUAGAGGGGGUAGAAUUUCAGGUGUAGCGGUGAAAUGCGUAGAGAUCUGAAGGAAUACCGGUGGCGAAGGCGGCCCCCUGGACAGAUACUGACACUCAGAUGCGAAAGCGUGGGGAGCAAACAGGAUUAGAUACCCUGGUAG
This 471-nucleotide ribosomal RNA is filed under the name uncultured bacterium. RNAcentral describes it as "bacterial SSU rRNA". It matches the Rfam family "Bacterial small subunit ribosomal RNA", at positions 329 to 793 of the family's 1533-position model. The record is from RNAcentral.